GUAAGGAAUAUUGGUCAAUGGACGAAAGUCUGAACCAGCCAUGCCGCGUGGAGGAUGAAGGUCCUCUGGAUUGUAAACUUCUUUUAUAUGGGACGAAAAUGGGGCUUUCUAGCUCAACUGACGGUACCAUAUGAAUAAGCACCGGCUAACUCCGUGCCAGCAGCCGCGGUAAUACGGAGGGUGCAAGCGUUAUCCGGAUUCACUGGGUUUAACGGGUGCGUAGGUGGAUUGGUAAGUCAGAGGUGAAAUCUCCGGGCUCAACUCGGAAACUGCCUUUGAUACUAUCAAUCUUGAAUAUUGUGGAGGUUAGCGGAAUAUGUCAUGUAGCGGUGAAAUGCUUAGAUAUGACAUAGAACACCAAUUGCGAAGGCAGCUGGCUACACAUAUAUUGACACUGAGGCACGAAAGCGUGGGGAUCAAACAGGAUUAGAAACCCCAGUAGUCC
RNAcentral lists this ribosomal RNA (445 nucleotides) under uncultured bacterium. RNAcentral's name for it is "partial 16S ribosomal RNA". It matches the Rfam family "Bacterial small subunit ribosomal RNA", at positions 354 to 796 of the family's 1533-position model. The record is from RNAcentral.